Molecule: transfer RNA, 72 nt
Filed under: Salmo salar (Atlantic salmon)
Lineage: Eukaryota; Metazoa; Chordata; Actinopteri; Salmoniformes; Salmonidae
Rfam family: tRNA
About the family: Transfer RNA (tRNA) molecules are approximately 80 nucleotides in length. Their secondary structure includes four short double-helical elements and three loops (D, anti-codon, and T loops).
Source: Rfam by way of RNAcentral
UCCCGUGUAGCUCAGUUGGUAGAGGAUGGCGCUUGCAACGCCAGAGUUGUGUGUUCGAUUCCCACUUGGGAC